Molecule: long non-coding RNA, 9837 nt
Organism: Bombus pascuorum
Lineage: Eukaryota; Metazoa; Arthropoda; Insecta; Hymenoptera; Apidae
Exons: 2
Source: RefSeq, a predicted model, not a curated record
ACCGUGUUACGUUUAAGAACGAAAUUAUAACUUAAUUAAUCACGGAACUGAAAGGAUGACACGUUUAAAAGUUAAAAUAGCUGAUUAUAUAUAAAUUCUCAGAACUUCGACUCACGCAACUGUAAUUUCCAAUGCAAUUGGUACCGGCAUCGACUUCUAUCAUAAUUUAUCCCCCUAAGCUCUCCCAAUUUAUCUCCCAACAAGAAUACUAAAUCCUCAAUUUCUUUUUUCCACCGAAUAAUAAUUAUCGCAUUUAACAGGGCAGCUUGGAAGACGGAAGCUCAGCGAAAUAGCCGGAAUGAAGCUGUCGGACGCACGAAAUGACGCGACGUUGAUUUAUGAAGAGAGAAGAGGCAGGCUUCCGCGCGGACCACUGGCUCUCUUCCUGAAAAGCUCGUAAAUCCUGGCCGACAACCAGGAUCCCUCGUGGCCGGUUCCGUGAGGCGAAUAAAGACGAACCGGUACGUCGGUGCCACCAGAAAGAAAUCGAAUCGUUGGCGCGGUCCCGAGCAGGAAAUUAGCCGCGGAAAAUUCUGUGGCCGCGAUUCCACGCACGCGUGUCUCUCGCAAAUUUACGACGCUGCGUUCUUUCGCUUCUCGAUUUACUCGGUCGAUCGUUCGUGCUCCAUUUACAUUUCAUCCCGCGGAGAAUCGGUUUGCAACCUCCUGCCUGCUCUUUUACGUUUUCUUUUUUUUCUUAGCCCUAACUGUUCGACGUGGAAAUUGUUCGAUCACCAGUUUGUUUGUACAGCCGUCGCUCCUAAUCGAAGACGCGCUUUUGUUUUUGCUGCAAUUUCGGUUCUAGUUCAUUUUUACACGAAUAACGAACGGUUUUCAAGCGGACGGACAACGUUAGGCUCUCGGAAUUUCUAGACCGAAACUAAAGAUAAAUUUCUUUUUCGUUGCUGUAUAUCCUGUACGGUAUAAUUUUGUUCUUUAACCGUCGUACGAACGGUGGGAAAUUUGAGGCAUCGAAUUUCAGAUCUUUUCAAUUUAUAAUUCCGAUUUUCGAUUGAAUUUCCGAGAUUAGAUCGAGUACAUUAGAUGGAAGUCCUUUGGAUAUAGCGUGUCGUGCUUUGGAAGGAACGAUUAUAAAAGGAAUUAAUGUUUCAAGCUGGCUUUAUCAAAUAGUUCCGACAAAGCUAAUCUUGAUUCAAGAAUCAAAACGUUUCUCCUAAUGUAUUUCAGGAAUAUAAUGAGAUUCUAUGUUCGCUAAAGACUCUCCGAUAAUUGCGUCUAAUAUUCCUAAGGGAAAGAGACAUGCCUCCUAUGUACACGCAAAGAAAACGUUCACGUUCAGCUCUACAAAGAUACGGGGCGGUGAAAUUUCCACGAGAUCGUGACGAUCCCUUCGAAAACUCGAUCACCGAUUGCAGAAAGCUACGUACGUAAUGUACAUGACGCGUGCGAUGAACGCAACUACGAUGGGACAUCUAACGUGGAAAGUUUCUCGCUGUGAAAAUCGAUAUGCUCGGCAGAAAUACUUCGAUCGCGUAAUGAAAUCAUCGGGACUUGAGAAUAAACAAUUUAACGAGUAAUUAUUUCUUUAUGUUGGGAGAUUGAGAAAGAUUUCGUUCGAAUAAACGGAGUCUACGUAAACAGAAUUCUAAGUUCUAAUUUCUAGCAGCUGAAACACAAAUCACUGUUCAGACUCUCCGUUUGAAUUUGCAUAAAGAUUACAGUUCAUGUACAACCGAUACGAUCGCGACUAAAGCAUAAACGUUGAAACGUCAACGAAACACAACAGACGGAAGAUAUUAAGCUCUAUCAAAUUGCAAAUGAUCUCGCAGGAUUCUCAGUCAUCCCUCGAAAGCUUCGAGCUUGAUAUCCAUAGAUGAGUUCGAACUAUCGACUUGACGUUUCGAGAAUCGAGUGCACGAGGCGGGGCGAGGUUCGACGAUGCUCGACGACGCCUCGAGUGCCUCGUCGAGCAUCUCGAAUUCCAGCAGUCACUACAUCCACGACGGUUUCCGUCAAAAGCUUUGGAGGAACCACCCCGUUGCGCGACAACUCGGCUUCGCUAACACGUUCUCGAUUAAGUCGCCGGGCAGAGAACUAAUUUCAAGGGGCUGAAUCUGUCGCCAUGGGGUGUGUCGGUUUGUGGUGGGAUGGGUGAACUCGGAGCAACUCUAAACUAGCUAAACAACUCUUUCUAAGAUACUCGCCGGGUCCGCGGAGUGCUCACCAAUUGCAGCCGUUGCUUGCAGCUCAGACGCGUCUCAUCUUCGUAUUAUUAAUGGAGAGGGAGGAUGCAGAAACAAAGGAAAUUUCGAACUUGCCGGAUAAUUGGUCUAUUUUAUACUUCUUUUUACUUUCGCGUAUAUUCUGACUGAAAAGUUCGCCGCGAUUUUUGCCGUUUGAACGAAAUUAAUUUUUCCACACACUUUUCUGGUUACUUAACAAGUUGAUGAUUACGCGUACUAUUGUAAAAAAUUGAUUCUCCGAGUUAUGAAAGUGUAUCACGCUGGCGAACAAAGUUAUAAGCUAAUUAAUUUCGAGACCAAAAUUUAAAAUACACGCUUGAAUUCCAAUUCCCGUGAUUCUACAGCGCUAUGCCGUCGCUUAUGUAAGUUAUUAUGUAAAUUAAUAAAUGUAAAAUUUGUUAGAGAUUGCUAGUAAAUGCAUCCAAUACUCGUAUGUAGCUAGCAGCGUACGCGGAAGGGAAAAACAACGAAGGGUAGAAAAGGAAAUAGCGAAUUUUUAUCGAUAUUUCUGCAUCGCUUUGAAGGAUGAUGUUAGAGCUAUUGAAAAACAGUAAUCGACGAUUCUUCGAUAAUCGUGAAAGAAAAUUGCAGUUUUUUUUCACCGUUUGAAAAUUAUGAUACACACAUUACUUCCUAUAUACUCUAAUAUUCUCAACGUACAAUAUCGCGUGUAUGUCUACGUAAAAGCGACAAACCCAUGGAAGAGAAUAAAAGUAUCACUUUCUAACAAUAAAGAACAGAGGGUAGGAGCAAAAAUAAUAAUAACGAAAAAAAGAAAAGAAAAACAAAAACUACCAAUCACAUGCAUUACAUUGAUACAGAAGAAGGAAUAAGAGGGAGAUAUAGAUAUUAAACAUUCGGGGAAGAUGCACAGAACAGAGGGAGAAGCUUAAAGAACCGCAACGACAGAGACAGACUGUAUUUAUAAUACUUGGGAUCGUAAAACAGAAAGGAAGAGUAAAAAAAUAAAUAAAUCGUUUUUUCUAUUAAACGGAGAAAGUAAAGUGUGAUACAGAUGUGAGACGUUGGUACGACGAUCGGUGAGCACUCCUGAUCGGCCAGGUCCAAACGAGAGAAACCACCAAGAAGACAGGACAGGAGAGAAGAAAAAAAAAGGGGGACAAAUAGUUAAAAAAAUAAUGAAAAAAAAAAAAAACAGGAAGAAGAUAAUAAUAGACAAACAACGGGCGAAGAAAGAUCACUCAGGGCGGACCCUUAAAAUUCCUACCUCCAGAGCGGGUGCUUUAGCCUGAAACACAAACGGCAAACCUGAAAAGAAAUUCCGGCCAGAUUCGGGUAGAUUUUGAUAUGGCGUCGCGUUUAACGAGGGAUCGUUGUCGUUGGUGUGGUCGUUGCUUAAUAUUAUUAUUAUCAUUAUUAUUAUCGUCAGUGUGAUAGAACCUAGAAACGAAUCUAUACAUGUUCGUUUAGUGUCUGUGUGAAUCGCAUUUGAAUGGUAAAAUCGAUUUCGUGUUUUGUAUAUUUUGAUACUUCGAGUAAAUGUGAAGAGAGAAUGAGUGAAAAAGAAGGGGUGGAGAAUGAGCGGAUGGAGAGAGAUCAGGCGACAAAAUGCAACAAGAUGCUGCACGAUCUUGCGACGCGAUGUGGUGCAAUGAGUGGAUCGCAAGAGACGCUUUCCAAGGGUUUUGAUUCGAAGGGCUCUGAGAACGAUAUUUCACCGUUGUGAAAUGUAUUUACUUGGCAAUAACGAGAGGAGAUAAAUAAAAUGAGAAACAUAAAAUAACAGAUGAAGAUCUGUUUCAAAUAAUCCGUAAUCUUUUCGAAGAUGUAAAUUUUGAAAACGUCUCUUGUUAAAAUACCACGAAAUAGUAAUAUAUUUAGAGAAACAGAUUUUAUUACGUAAAAUCGAGAAUGCUGACACGUUCGAUCCAGUUCACUGGCAUUCCAUUAGUCAAAAUUUGACAGGUAUUUGAGCGCAAUCGAUUAUAUUUGAACUAUUAAAAAUAUAGAUUUUUUUAUCAAGUUUCCUGAACGUGUCAAGGUAUCAGCAAACGCUGUUGCCCGAAAUUGCAAAAGAGCAUCGAUCUCACUUGCCCCUCUCAACGUGCAAAAAAUAAACCCAUCCGCAUUUGUAAAAAAAUAGUGCAUCGAAAAGGACCUGGAAUAUAUUCGAAAAUCUAAUUUCCCUCGCGUAUGUCGUUGCUAUAUUACCAGAGCGGAUUUUUGUAACGGACUGACGUCGAAACAAGAGGACAGUUGGCGAAAUGAGCGCGGUGUUCGAAAUUAAUUUUCAUGCCGCGCGGUGGCGAGCUGCAAACCGGCUGUCGAGGAAGUAAAGCUCAAAAACGAUAGCUGUCGUUACCCGUUUCCUGUGUCUGCUCUUUUGCAAUUCCUCGUUGCCUCUCGCUUGUUUUAUAAUUUUCUCUCUAUCUCGUUCGAACGAGAUUUAUCCGUAGAUUUUUCGCGUAUACGGUGGAAGGCACGAAAGAGAAACGAGAGAUGGUGAAAAAAGGGAGGAAUAAAAAAUCGAAAAAAAAAGAAAAGAAAAGAAGAGAAGAAAAAAUGGACGAACAGGCGGAUGAAAAAAAGAUGGAAGAGAGUGACGGCAGAUGAAAGAACGUAGGGACGAGAUAGGGAUGGCGUAAUUGUUAUCGGGAUUCUCUGCGUUUCACGUGUGUGCAAGCCUGGCAAAACGUGUCAACUAACGUCAGCUGUUGCUUGAGGCCAUUCCAGCUAAACGGGUCCGGAACAGUUGCAGACUUUAGUCAAUAUUCCUCUGCCUUCUUUUCUCUUUGUUCUAGUUCUCUCUCUUUCCCCCUUCUAUCUUUUUCGUCUAUAGUUUUGUUUCUUUUUUUUCUUUUUUGUUCGUUUUGAUGUUUGUUUUUACCCUUUCCUCGCUUUUUCUCUUUUUUUUUUUUUCGUUUCUGAACGCGUCUCGUGCUCUGUUUCCGCGACACGAUCGACGACGUAUCGAUUAGAAAAGGCAGCUUUUUUUUAUCGGUAACAAUGAACUCUCCCUUUUGCUAGGGGGUAAGAACGACCGACCGGUUCGCCAUUGUCACGCGAAAACGCCGUUUCCUGGUCGAUCGGUGUGUACAAAGGCUACUUCAUUUUGGAGUGGCGGAAUCAUUGUCCGUGACGAAUUUUCAAUCGCGUCAUUGUCAAUACCCGUGCAAUUUGUCAAUUCUUUUUCAUCAUUUUUCUAUAUUCAAAUUAAUAUUUCGAUAAUUAUAUAGAUACGAAAAUUUACAUAGAAGCUAGAAACUAAUUAUUACGAACAUGUGGUUCGUAGCUUUAGAAAGAAUAAUUGCCAUUUAUCCACGGAACGUGUAUCCAUAGUGGAACAUCGAAAAACGCUUACUAAUUUGGAAGUUUCAGGUGGUUGGUUGAACCGUGUUCAAUUUUAUGCUUGCCGAGUAGAUCGAUGAAGAAAAUCGAUACGCAAACAACGAUCAACCGGGAUUCGUUUACCAAUUAAUUCACGAUAAUCUAUCGGCAGCGUCUGAAAGGUGAUCGAUUAAGCGGGCUGACGUUUCAAUCUGGCCGAGGGGCGUCGCUCGAUUUAAUUAAAAACUCAUUCGUCGUCGUUCGCGCCCCGGAAACAGAGCACCGGCGACAAUUUCCGGCGGAAAAUCAGGGAAAUCUCGUGUCUCACCUGUAGCCUGUAGUUGGGAUCCUGUGUCGCCGCGUGUGCAGCUAGGAACGGGUCGUAAUAAACGCUGCAAAAUAAAAAUCACCAAUGUUAGUUUUGUAGAUGCGCAAGAAUUUCUACGCAACCAGCAUCUUUUCGAUUAUUUCUAGAUAUUUUUCAACAUGUUUUUCUUUAUAUAUUUUUUUUUUUUUUUUUUUAGGCGUGUUUCGUUUUCCUUCAAAGUGAAGUAUAAAUCGUUUGUUUCUUUUUUAAAGCUUUUUGUUCUACCUCUCUUUUGUUCAAUUUAUCUUUUGCUCCAACUUGUUUCGACUUUACUUAAACUUGUAUUCAAUUAUAUUUUUCUGAUUGAAUUAUUUAAUGAAAUAACGGAUCUUUCUUGGAGAUUUCAACGUUCGAAACGCACGCGUCUUCGUCGUUGAAAAGAGGCUGGUUGCCUUCGAUUCUCUGUAAACGAAACGUUGACAAAAAUUUCGUUUCUCGUGGCAUUCGAAACGCAAUUCGAGCGUCGAGUGCUCUCGUCUUGUUAGAAGCUUCGAGUUCGACGAUCGACACGAUAUACAGCGUCAAAGGAUAUGAUUUAAUCUUUUUUAUUCGAUCGAGGACCACGCUGUUCUCGCGACUCGAUGAAUUUUACCCAUUUGGCGAAUGAAAGAAUCGCUGCGUUCGAUCAAAUUCCGAAAUCGAACGCGUGCCACUAGUCCCGAGCCCAUCUCUUAUACCUGACGUAUUUAUUCGUCGAGUUGCAAUGCCCUCGUUCGAUUCUCGACAAUUAUAUCAAAACCCUAGCGUUUCUCAAUAGGUCGCGGAAUGAUUUUUUUGAAAUUUUGAACCGUUAAAAAUCAUUGUACGCUGUAGCUCAAAAAUAUCACGCACUUGCUUCCCUUUGGCAGGAUAUAAUUUAAUCGUAAGUUUCCGAAAAAAAGAUUUAUCGAUGUUCAUUUUUAAAGUCUACUAUGCAAUAACAAAAUCGACGCUCGUGAUUGUCAAAGUUCGCGGAAUUAUUUCGUUGUUUGGAAAGCUCGUUAUCUGCAGAUUGUUUAAUUUUCUAAACUACCGACACAACACGAACACCGACAUUAUUCCAAACAGCGAGUAAAACACAAUUACACGAUUUAAUACGUUACUGUUAAUUUUUUCAAGCAGAAUUUAAAUUUAUCUAUUGCUAAAUUCUAUCAAAGUGUCGAAGUAUUUAUGAGCCGCGGCGUACUCAUCGAAGUAACGAAGCUUUGAAACGUCUCCAAGAGUCACGUUUUGCAACUUUUGUUUCGAACAAUCAAAUUUUGUGAUUUUUGUUUCGAAUCGAACGAGACAACGUUCCGAGUCGAUCGAUUUUACGAGAGACGAAAGUUUCUCUUUUGCCAUCUCCAUUUCCCUGUCGAUUUUAUUCGUCGCCGGUUAUCAGGGUGUAUUCGAGCGAGGUCAACGAAAAUUCAUAAAUCACAACCGGCGUGUUCUUCCAUUAAAAACGUGUCGGUAUCAUCGGCGCGAUCGGUGGAUCGAAGAAGAGUAACGAACGAUUUCAACGAUUUACGAACGCGCGGGAAUACCAGCCUUAUUUAUGAGUAAUAAAACUGACGAUUGAUCGGUGGGAAAAUAUGGUUGCCAUGCGGAAACAUCGACGGCUUCGAAAUUUUCCAUCAUCCCCUUUUAUCCGGUUCGCGCCGUGCGAAAUUGUUUAAUUAACGAGCGAUGCUAUUUAUCGACGCGCGAACGCGUAUUUGUUCGCGUUCACCGUUGGAAACUAAUGAAAAUUCCUUUGUCGUGAAAAAUUAAGGAAUCUUUCUAAACGAUCUAUCCCUGCACGUAACUUACCCCGUUAUCGUUCUUUAACCGCUUAAGAAUUAUAUUUGUUCAGGAAAUUCUAUUAAAAAAACAUUUAAUUUCUACCAUUGAUUUAGUAACAUUUCGCCACUGCAAGUAAUUACGAUUCGAUUAAUUCAAUUUCCGUAAUUAAUUAUAUGAUAGGAAUUACGACGAACCCUUAAAUUACAGUGUUCCAUUCAUUGUACGGUAUUUCUAUUUUACGGAUUUGGAUUGGAUUUUUAUAAUAUCAUUCACAUUGUCCAAUAUCCUCUGGGAAAAAUAUUCAUUUCUUUUACAUUAGCUACAUUUUAAUUAAAAAUUUAAUUAAUACAUCCAAUUGACGUUCCAGAAGAAAAAUAACGUUAUCAGAGGAAGUACGAUAAGAACAUUUUGCAUAUCUAAAUUUCUCCAAAUUAAUAUAUCCUUAAGCGAUUAAUUUUUAAAAUCCUUCAUAAACCUUAUACUUCGUUUCCAUUUAAACAUCGAGAUUAUCAACGCUAUAAAAGUUUCUCUAUCAACCGCACCAAGUUCGCGAUGAUCACGUUUAUCCGUUCGAGGCUUCCUUUAACCUCUGAUAAUUCCUCCUUGCAAACUAGUUCCUCUCAAGCAAGUUUCCUUACGAACCUCCUCCUCCCACUAUCCACCGAUCAUAUUUUCACGUUUACAAGAAAAAAACGCUUCGUUAUCGUGUAAUAUUGGUUUAUCUACGUUGACUAAAAGGCUUUCUAAAGUGCAUUCUAUAGAAGGUUCUCUCUGGGGAAAAGAAAAUUGCGAUCGGCCUGGUGAAAAGGUUACAUCGGUGCAUGCAGGAUGAUUUCGACAAGCAGACUAUAACGAGCGAGACACGUGCAAGAGGACUGGUCGCAGUGGGUAACCGGAAGAGCGGGCUGAAUUUCGAUGACACUCGAUGAUUCGCAGCGACAAAUUGGCAGAAUUUCUGUACGGUCGUCGGUCGACGCGCAAAACUGGAUCGGCUGUUGAACGAAGUGUGAAUUUCCACGUGAAACUACGGCGUCGACGUGGCCGGUUGUUGCGUUCGAGAGAGGAACGUGAUAUAGAUAAAUCGUUGACAAACCAAGGGCGACGACGAGACGAGAUUAGACGAAUUUCAGGGAGGGCUCAGGGAAACUUUCGACCACGGAGGAAAGCUUGGAAAAUCUUGGAAACGCUAGCGCUCGUUGCACCAAAGAAGGCGAUUCCUUUGAAAUUCCUAUGGAAAUUCGGUGGAAGUUAACCAAACGUUUGAAAAUUGAUUUCUUUGUGAGAAGCUAUUGUAACAACCUACCGAUUUGUUCGGUUUCUGUCAUUCAAAUAUCUAUUUCAGCAUCGAAUGCUCGCGCGACGAGCGGAAUUGCGCGUUUGAAGGGAAGAUUAAAACGACGAAUCGAUAAAUGAAUUAUUAAACGAAUAAUCAAAGAUUGUGGAAGCACGGAGAUCUGAAUCUCGAGAUGUACGGUCGGAUGUACCUGAUUCAGAUAAGAAGAAGGAUCGACGUUAUCCGUUUUCCUCCGAGAAACGACUCUCCGACGGAGAGAUUCGGAUUUUCUCAUAAAUAGUUGGCUGCAGUAUUACCGAUCCAGUCGAACAGAGUCUAAGAAAAGUAGCCAAUAUCUGGAGAAAAGGAUGUUGGAAAAUCAACUACGUCUAAGUAUAGUCCAUCAGCUGCAGCUGAUGAAAUCCGACGCAUGGAAAUUGCUUCUACGUCUGUAGAUACUUCUCAGACCGUGAAACUUUCCAAACCUACUAUAAACAUCGAUCGGAUAACACCUAAGGAAGAUGACACACCUGUGAGCGCAGUAAAAUUUCCUCUACCGCAGGAACGGCAGGAAGCUCCAAGACUCAGAAAUAUUUGGAGUAAACGCAAAAGAUUUUGCGGGAGACCCGCGUGCCAACUCACGUUGGUUACAUUUUUCUGCCUUCUGUUACCUUGUGUCUUGAUAUACUUCGCUGUUUUCCUCCUGGAUAAGUUCAGGAAGAAGAGGCAAUUUCUUCCUUCGGAGGAAAACUCGAAAGUGUAGAUGUCGUUGGAACGUCGAUGAGUCCGAAAGACGAAGAUAUUGAAUAAAUUAAAUACCAAAGAUUUGCACGGAGUGUUGGAAGUUACGUAGAACGCGCACGUGAAUUCCGUAAGGUUAAGAAGAGUUUCUGAACGUGCACCAGGAAUCUACGUUCUUCCAAGAUGAAUGAUAUCCGCGAAUGAAAUAGUUUAGACGAAUA